RNAcentral lists this long non-coding RNA (448 nucleotides) under Lathyrus oleraceus (garden pea). RNAcentral describes it as "Pisum sativum (pea) long non-coding RNA (PSAT_LNC040382)". Lineage: Eukaryota; Viridiplantae; Streptophyta; Magnoliopsida; Fabales; Fabaceae. The record is from RNAcentral.
AUCAAUUAAUUAAUGAACCUGGAAAAAUACUAGAAAUCUGGAUUUUAUCUCUUACGCUUCGAUGCUCGAACACUCCACCACAAGUCGGUUGGAUUUGUUCUUCACAAUUCUCGAUCAGAUAGGAAAGUAAAAACAAGGAAAUAAAAUACUAUGAUCUAACGUAAGGUUAGAUCCAGUAAAAAUUACACAAUAGUUUCCGGUGUAGAAACUAUCGUGAGAAAGUAAAUUGUAUGCUUCGGAAAUUAAACUAAAAGAAAAAGAAAAAAAAAGAAAUAAAUUGCUUGAAAAAUUAGAAUGCUGGAAAAAUUGUACGGAGAAGAGAGCGCUUCAAUUGGCUUUUGUGAGGUUUAUUUAUAUUAACCUCCCAAGAUAACCGUCUCCUAGAAUGUGUCUUCAGUAUGGUUCAAAGCGUCUCCGAGUGCAUGAGAGAAUUUAUGGGAAACCGUCC